Molecule: ribosomal RNA, 440 nt
Filed under: uncultured bacterium
Lineage: Bacteria
Description: partial 16S ribosomal RNA
Rfam family: Bacterial small subunit ribosomal RNA
Source: RNAcentral
CCUACGGGAGGCAGCAGUGGGGAAUAUUGCACAAUGGGGGAAACCCUGAUGCAGCGACGCCGCGUGAGUGAAGCAGUAUUUCGGUACGUAAAGCUCUAUCAGCAGGGACGAAAAUGACGGUACCUGACUAAGAAGCCCCGGCUAACUACGUGCCAGCAGCCGCGGUAAUACGUAGGGGGCAAGCGUUAUCCGGAUUUACUGGGUGUAAAGGGAGCGUAGACGGCAGCGCAAGUCUGGAGUGAAAUCCCAUGGCUUAACCAUGGAACUGCUUUGGAAACUGUGCAGCUAGAGUGCAGGAGAGGUAAGCGGAAUUCCUAGUGUAGCGGUGAAAUGCGUAGAUAUUAGGAGGAACACCAGUGGCGAAGGCGGCUUACUGGACUGUAACUGACGUUGAGGCUCGAAAGCGUGGGGAGCAAACAGGAUUAGAUACCCGUGUAGUC